This is a long non-coding RNA of Paramormyrops kingsleyae, 1695 nucleotides long. RefSeq lists it as uncharacterized. Lineage: Eukaryota; Metazoa; Chordata; Actinopteri; Osteoglossiformes; Mormyridae. The record is from RefSeq and is a predicted model, not a curated record.
ACUUCCGGCAGACGCGCGUCAAGCGUGCUGUCUGUAGCUAUGGUGACGAAAGCACGUAUCGGAAUGUUUGGGAAAGAAACUUGCUAAAGCUGAAAAUGCUUUAAGACAUGCAGUUUGUCGGACGGUUUUAGCCACGUAUUUUUGCAUUGACUGUGUUUAUCUUAUUCGAAGACGCCAUUUGUAUGCACCAACAAAGAAGCAGUAGAGUUCGUUUUCAUUUAGUGCCAAUUUCCCGUACUAAUUCCCUGAAAAAUCAACAUAGGUCGCUGACGACCAAACAAAAAAUAUUCGCUGGCCUCACGAGAUUGGAUUUCUAACCUUUCCAAUUGGGUAUUUGUGAUUUUAGUGAAAAUUAUUAUUUCGACAAAAUGUCAAGGUAGAAAGCCUCAGAAAAAGUAAAAACGUGGAUGACGAAGGUCGAGUUCUUCAGUGCUGAAGAAGGCCGCACAGAAUGAAGAGGAGGCAGAAAGUGACGCAGCAGAAGCAUAGGCAUCGAAAUCAGCAUAGAUAGUGCAAGGACCUGUGCAGGCUGCACAAAUAGCGGUACAAUAACAAGAAGCUUCUGCACAAGGAGAAGAACCUGCUUACAGAGGCAAGAGUGGACUUGUGGGGUCAUCUGCUGAGCCCCUACCCCCAACACGGUCAGGUCUUUCAACAUAAUGCAUACAAAAGAGGACCUGAGAAGAGGUGCCAGACUUAUGCAAAGUGAAUUGGAUGCAUUGCCGUGCCUUAUAAAUGGGCCCUUGAAAAGUACAGUUAUUGAUAAUAUGAACAAAUAUGCCAAAGGAAGAGAUCCGAAUGCAUGGACACUGAAUGAUGAGGAUUAGAUGAAAGUAGUAUUGGGUGUCAUUGUUUCUGCUUGGAGUGUAUUGUUGCAGAAACGAGUCUGUGAGGUCUCUUUGGUCCUGUGGUCCUGGUGGUAGAUCAGUAUUCAGCUGCCUUUUGGAAUAAAUACAUUCAAACAAAUACUGGCAUUUUUGUGUUGAGACAAUCGCAACACACGUCAGGCCAGAAAAGCCAGUGAUAAGAUUUGUAGCACUUCAGUCACUUCGGUUUUGGAAUGCUUUUAUUGAAAGCUGCAAAAAGAACUACUUGGUCUGAGCAUAUGUGACAAUUGAUGAACAGUUCAUUCCUUUUAGAGGACACCGUGGCCUUUAUCAGUAUUUGCCCAUUAAACUGGGCAUAUAUGGGAUGGAAUUAUUCCUUCUGUGUAAUGUUUGUAGCUGGCUACAUAAUUAAUGGACUCCCUUCAGGCUGUGAAGGCACUCAACCAUCCACUGCCGUGGCAGAAACAGUACUGAAAACACUGGUGGAUCCUGUACAUUAAUCUGCCAUAAAUGUGACAGACAACUGGUUCACAGUUGCGAAUCUUACAGGAAGAUUUGCUACACAAACAAAUAACACUAUUGGGAACAUUGGGCAGAAACAAACCAGAGGUUCAGGGGUUUUUGCCCAGUGGAAUGAGAGCUACAGGCUUUAGCAUGUUUGGCUUUUGCUCAGGAUUUGUUCAAUGUUGCUUUAUUUCUUUAUUUGCAUUAUAUAUACACAAACACACAAAUAUCUUUUCAUAUACUAGUAAGUUUAUUAGACAUAUUUAAUGCUUUUUAAUGCUCAUUUUUGAAACAAAAAUGUUUAAAAUGGUUGAAUAUUUUUCAGUGUUCAUUGAAGAAAUAAUCAGUAAAAAAUGUUUGAGAA